AGGUCAAGCAAAAAAGGCACAGGGCGGAUGCCUUGGCACUAAGGGCCGAAGAAAGACGCGACAAGCUGCGAAAAGCUGCGGGGAGGGGCACAUGCCCGUUGAUCCGCAGGUGUCUGAAUGGGGGAACCCACACGGGGCGCACCCCGUGUAUCCAUGCGUGAAUCCAUAGCGUAUGGAGGGGAACCCGGCGAACUGAAACAUCUAAGUAGCCGGAGGAAAAGGAAGAAACAUCGAUUCCGGGAGUAGCGGCGAGCGGAACCGGAAGAGCCCAAACCGCGGCGCGGGCGCCGCGGGGUUCGGGCCCGCAGGAAUGACUGCAAAUCCUAGCAGAACGGUUUUGGGAAAGCCGGCCAGAGAGGGUGAAAGCCCCGUAAGCGGAAGGAAGCGCGGCAGAGCGGGUACCAGAGUACGCCGGGACACGAGAAACCCUGGCGGAACAAGCGGGGACCACCCCGUAAGGCGAAAUACCCUUAGUGACCGAUAGCGCAUAGUACUGUGAAGGAAAGGUGAAAAGGACCCCGGGAGGGGAGUGAAAGAGAACCUGAAACCCUGUGUCCAUAAACUGUGGGAGCGCCGCAUGUGCGCGACCGCGUACUUUUUGUAGAACGGUCCGGCGAGCUGCGCAUGCCGGCAAGGUUAAGGGCGAAAAAGCCCGGAGCCGCAGGGAAACCGAGCCUUAAGAGGGCGGUUGAGUCGGCAGGCGCAGGCCCGAAACCGGGUGAUCUACCCAUCCCCAGGCUGAAGACGCCGUAAAAGGCGUUGGAGGGCCGCACCCACAUCCGUUGAAAAGGGUGGGGAUGAGGGGUGGGUAGCGGAGAAAUUCCAAUCGAACCCGGAGAUAGCUGGUUCUCCCCGAAAUAGCUUUAGGGCUAGCCCUGCACAAGUCCCGUGGAGGUAGAGCACUGGAUUCCCGCGGGGGCGUCAAAGCCUACCAAAGGAUACCAAACUCCGAAUGCCACAGGGACGGUGUGCGGGAGUCAGGCUGCACGAGAUAAGUUGGGCAGCCAAAAGGGAAAGAGCCCAGACCGCCGGCUAAGGCCCCAAAGUGCGUGUUAAGUGGGAAAGGAUGUGGGGGUUCAAAGACAGCUAGGACGUUGGCUCAGAAGCAGCCAUGCAUUCAAAGAGUGCGUAACAGCUCACUAGCCGAGAGCCCCUGCGCCGAAAAUGUCCGGGGCUCAAACACGCCGCCGAAGCCGCGGGGCAUAUGCGAAUGCAUAGGCCGGUAGGGGAGCAUCCCUGCAGCAAAGAAGCCGUACCGGAAGGGGCGGUGGAGGUGCAGGGAGGGAGAAUGCCGGAAUGAGUAGCGAGAGGGAGGUGGGAAUCCUCCCGGCCGAAUAUCCAAGGGUUCCAGGGUAAAGCUUGUCUUCCCUGGGGGAGUCGGGGCCUAAGGCGAGGCAGGGAUGCGUAGCCGAUGGGGAACAGGCGGAGAUUCCUGUACCGCAUAUGGGCAGAACUUGCGGGGACGCGGGCGGUAGAUGCAGGCCGGGGGUGGAAAGCCCGGUACAAGCGCAGUAGGCUGCAUGUGGUGAAAGCCGCAUGCGAAAGGCCAAAGGCGUGACGUGGAGCGAAACAAAAGUAGCGAAGUGCAGAAGCCGCCUGCCGAGAAAAGCCGCUAUAGCCCCAUAUGCGCCCGUACCGUAGACCGACACAGGUGGAUGGGGAGAGGAUCCCAAGGCCGGCGGGGGAAGCAUUGCCAAGGAACUCGGCAAAAUGGCCCCGUAACUUCGGGAGAAGGGGCGCCAGGGGAAACCCUGGCCGCAGGGAAGAGGCCCAAGCAACUGUUUAGCAAAAACACAGGCCUAUGCGAAACCGCAAGGUGAGGUAUAUGGGCUGACGCCUGCCCGGUGCUGGAAGGUUAAGAGGAGGGGUCAGCGCAAGCGAAGCCCUGAAUUGAAGCCCCAGUAAACGGCGGCCGUAACUAUAACGGUCCUAAGGUAGCGAAAUUCCUUGUCGGGUAAGUUCCGACCCG
Molecule: ribosomal RNA, 1969 nt
Filed under: Eubacterium sp.
Lineage: Bacteria; Bacillati; Bacillota; Clostridia; Eubacteriales; Eubacteriaceae
Description: partial 23S ribosomal RNA
Rfam family: Bacterial large subunit ribosomal RNA
Source: RNAcentral